Molecule: ribosomal RNA, 479 nt
Filed under: Lolliguncula panamensis
Lineage: Eukaryota; Metazoa; Mollusca; Cephalopoda; Myopsida; Loliginidae
Description: partial 16S ribosomal RNA
Rfam family: Bacterial large subunit ribosomal RNA
Source: RNAcentral
AACAGCUGCGGUAUUUUAACUGUACUAAGGUAGCAUAAUAAUUUGCCUUAUAAUUUGAGGCUAGAAUGAAUGGUUUGACGAAGGUUAGACUGUCUCUAUUUUACUUUUUAGAAAUUAAUUUUCAUAGUGAAAAAGCUUGAAUUUUUUAAAGGGACGAGAAGACCCUAUUGAGCUUGUAAUUUUAUUGUUAUUAUUAUAUUAAUUGUUAAUGGUAAUAUAUAAAUUUUAAUUGGGGUGAUUAAGGAAUAAAAUUUUAUAUUAGUAACUUCCUUAAUAAGAUGAUUGUUAGAUAAAGUAACCAAUAUUAUUAAAUAUUAUUGCUUAUAUUGUAGUUACCAUAGGGAUAACAGCGUAAUUUAUUUAGAGAGUUCUUAUUGAAAAAUAAGAUUGCGACCUCGAUGUUGGAUUAAAGUAACCUUAAGGUGCAGAAGCUUUAAUAAGGUAAAUCUGUUCGAUUUUUAAAACUUUACGUGAUCUGA